This 916-nucleotide long non-coding RNA is filed under the name Macaca nemestrina (pig-tailed macaque). RNAcentral's name for it is "lncRNA (ENSMNEG00000046108.1)". The record is from RNAcentral. Lineage: Eukaryota; Metazoa; Chordata; Mammalia; Primates; Cercopithecidae.
GCCUCAGUUUCUUCAUCUAUACAAUUAAGAUAAAAAUAGUUGUAUUGCUUAGGGAUACUGUGAAGAAAUCAAUAGAUGUGAAAACACUUUGUAAAAGUUAGACAGUAAAUAUAUGCAUGGUAGUACAUAUGUAUGCAUUAGUACAAUCUGGUUACCACACUGGAGUUGGGAUUUUUGAUAUUAUUACCCUUAUCUUUACCCUUCCCUGUCAUUACUGCAUCUCUUGGCUUUUUGCUUAGAUCCUUGAUCUUCAGGACCUGAUGUGCUGAAUGUCAAUAUCCAUCCGUUCACUGAGAUGAUCUUACCAGGCUCAAUGUCUUCUUAUCGCUUCAUGCAAAGGUCAUUUUCUCACUCUCUUUCAGUCCCAGCUGUCACACAGAGAAAACCCAAGACAGCAACAUGUUCUGGAAGCCAGGUGAGGAGAGAUUUUUAAGAGGGAGAGAGUGAAAAAUUCUGUCGAAUGUCAAAUUCUUUUCAAGGAAGGUGAAGCCUGAGAAUUGAGCAUUGAAUUUAGCAAUGUGGAAGUUACUGGUGAGCUUGAUAGGAGCAAAUUGGGGGAAAAAAUGAAAUAAAUUUCAAUUAGAGUAGAUUCAACAGAGAGCAGGAAGAACUAAAUUAGAGGCAAUGAUAAACAGCUCUUUCAAAGAACUGUGUUUUGUUUUGUUACUUUUUUUCUUAAGAUAAGGAAAAGAAUGGGCAAUAGCUGGAAAGACAAUAGGAUGAUGAAAGGUUUUACCAGACAAUACAGACAAAAAAGAGGGAUACAUUGAUAAGACAGGAGAGAAGAAAAUUGCUGGAACAAUGACUUGAGUAGGUUAGAGCCAUACUGGAGGGGCUGGCCUUCUGAAAUGCAGAUGGCUCAACUAUAUCACAGGAAGAGAGCUGGAACAUGUGUACACACAUGCAUCAGGGGAGG